UGGGUAACCUACCUAUAAGACUGGGAUAACUUCGGGAAACCGGAGCUAAUACCGGAUAAUAUUUCGAACCGCAUGGUUCGAUAGUGAAAGGUGGUUUUGCUAUCACUUAUAGAUGGACCCGCGCCGUAUUAGCUAGUUGGUAAGGUAACGGCUUACCAAGGCGACGAUACGUAGCCGACCUGAGAGGGUGAUCGGCCACACUGGAACUGAGACACGGUCCAGACUCCUACGGGAGGCAGCAGUA
Molecule: ribosomal RNA, 244 nt
Filed under: uncultured Staphylococcus sp.
Lineage: Bacteria; Bacillati; Bacillota; Bacilli; Caryophanales; Staphylococcaceae
Description: partial 16S ribosomal RNA
Rfam family: Bacterial small subunit ribosomal RNA
Source: RNAcentral